RNAcentral lists this transfer RNA (87 nucleotides) under Syntrophomonadaceae bacterium. RNAcentral describes it as "tRNA-Leu". It matches the Rfam family "tRNA". From Rfam's summary of the family: Transfer RNA (tRNA) molecules are approximately 80 nucleotides in length. Their secondary structure includes four short double-helical elements and three loops (D, anti-codon, and T loops). The record is from RNAcentral. Lineage: Bacteria; Bacillati; Bacillota; Clostridia; Eubacteriales; Syntrophomonadaceae.
GCGGUAGUGGCGGAAUUGGCAGACGCGCUAGAUUCAGGUUCUAGUCUGUUCACGCAGGUGGAGGUUCAAGUCCUCUCUACCGCACCA